CCCGCCCGGGUAAUACGAGCAUUAGCUUAAAACCCAAAGGACUUGGCGGUGCUUUAGACCCCCCUAGAGGAGCCUGUUCUAGAACUGAUAACCCCCGUUAAACCUCACCACCCCUUGUUUUACCCGCCUAUAUACCACCGUCGUCAGCUUACCCUGUGAAGGAAACAUAGUGAGCAUAAAUGGUAAAGCCAUAAACGUCAGGUCGAGGUGUAGCGAAUGAGGUGGGAAGAAAUGGGCUACAUUCUCUCCUA
Molecule: ribosomal RNA, 251 nt
Filed under: Enchelyopus cimbrius (fourbeard rockling)
Lineage: Eukaryota; Metazoa; Chordata; Actinopteri; Gadiformes; Gaidropsaridae
Description: partial 12S ribosomal RNA
Rfam family: Bacterial small subunit ribosomal RNA
Source: RNAcentral